Non-coding RNA from Felis catus (domestic cat), 85 nucleotides. Lineage: Eukaryota; Metazoa; Chordata; Mammalia; Carnivora; Felidae. The record is from Rfam.
GCUUGGGUGGCUCAGUUGGUUAAGUGUCUGACUUCAGCUCAGGUCAUGAUCUCAGCGUUCGUGGGUUCAAGCCCUGCAUCAGGCU